CACGUAGGGCGCAAGCGUUGUCCGGAAUUAUUGGGCGUAAAGAGCUCGUAGGCGGUCUGUUACGUCUGCUGUGAAAACCCGGGGCUUAACCUUGGGCUUGCAGUGGAUACGGGCAGACUAGAGGCAGGUAGGGGAGAAUGGAAUUCCCGGUGUAGCGGUGAAAUGCGCAGAUAUCGGGAGGAACACCGGUGGCGAAGGCGGUUCUCUGGGCCUGACCUGACGCUGAGGAGCGAAAGCGUGGGGAGCGAACAGG
RNAcentral lists this ribosomal RNA (253 nucleotides) under uncultured bacterium. RNAcentral's name for it is "partial 16S ribosomal RNA". It matches the Rfam family "Bacterial small subunit ribosomal RNA", at positions 524 to 776 of the family's 1533-position model. The record is from RNAcentral.